This 107-nucleotide small RNA is filed under the name Marmota monax (woodchuck). Lineage: Eukaryota; Metazoa; Chordata; Mammalia; Rodentia; Sciuridae. The record is from RNAcentral.
UCUGGGCAUGGUGAUGCAUGCCUGUAAUCCCAGGGGCUCAGGAAGCUGAGGCAGGAGGAUCACGAGUUCAAAGCCAGCCUCAGCAACUUAGUGAGACUCUGUCCCAG